This 77-nucleotide transfer RNA is filed under the name Deefgea tanakiae. RNAcentral describes it as "Deefgea sp. D25 tRNA-Pro". It matches the Rfam family "tRNA". Rfam says of the family: Transfer RNA (tRNA) molecules are approximately 80 nucleotides in length. Their secondary structure includes four short double-helical elements and three loops (D, anti-codon, and T loops). Further hydrogen bonds mediate the characteristic L-shaped molecular structure. tRNAs have two regions of fundamental functional importance: the anti-codon, which is responsible for specific mRNA codon recognition, and the 3' end, to which the tRNAs corresponding amino acid is attached (by aminoacyl-tRNA synthetases). tRNAs cope with the degeneracy of the genetic code in two manners: having more than one tRNA (with a specific anti-codon) for a particular amino acid; and 'wobble' base-pairing, i.e. permitting non-standard base-pairing at the 3rd anti-codon position. The record is from RNAcentral. Lineage: Bacteria; Pseudomonadati; Pseudomonadota; Betaproteobacteria; Neisseriales; Chitinibacteraceae. RNAcentral also lists the same sequence under 1 other name.
CGGAAUAUAGCGCAGCCUGGUAGCGCACUUGGAUGGGGUCCAAGGGGUCGCGAGUUCGAAUCCCGCUAUUCCGACCA